Spea bombifrons (plains spadefoot toad) is the source of this 241-nucleotide long non-coding RNA. RefSeq lists it as uncharacterized. NCBI's taxonomy places the organism in Eukaryota, Metazoa, Chordata, Amphibia, Anura, Pelobatidae. The transcript has 2 exons. The record is from RefSeq and is a predicted model, not a curated record.
GAAGAACCGUGAUCCUCUUCUCUCAUUCUGAAUAAACAGGACUUCCUCUUGGAAAUCAGUAAGCUGCCAUUUUACGUAAGAUCGUAGGCAAACUGCAUGACGCCUUCGUGACCACGUGUGACAUCAUCAAGAACACGCUCAAUGAUGCGUACAGAACCGUGGCCUUGGCUUUGUUUCUACCCCCUUUGAUCGUUUAUAUUAGUUUUGUGAGUCUGUAGAGACUGGAUUUCCCUUCUGUGUU